This 344-nucleotide ribosomal RNA is filed under the name uncultured Faecalibacterium sp. Its description in RNAcentral is "bacterial SSU rRNA". It matches the Rfam family "Bacterial small subunit ribosomal RNA", at positions 21 to 358 of the family's 1533-position model. The record is from RNAcentral. Lineage: Bacteria; Bacillati; Bacillota; Clostridia; Eubacteriales; Oscillospiraceae.
GGCUCAGGACGAACGCUGGCGGCGCGCCUAACACAUGCAAGUCGAACGGAGCUGAGAGAAGCUUGCUUUUCUCAGCUUAGUGGCGAACGGGUGAGUAACGCGUGAGUAACCUGCCCUGGAGUGGGGGACAACAGUUGGAAACGACUGCUAAUACCGCAUAAGCCCACGAUCCGGCAUCGGAUUGAGGGAAAAGGAUUUAUUCGCUUCAGGAUGGACUCGCGUCCAAUUAGCUAGUUGGUGAGGUAACGGCCCACCAAGGCGACGAUUGGUAGCCGGACUGAGAGGUUGAACGGCCACAUUGGGACUGAGACACGGCCCAGACUUCUACGGGAGGCAGCAGUAGG